Molecule: non-coding RNA, 213 nt
Organism: Vicia faba (fava bean)
Lineage: Eukaryota; Viridiplantae; Streptophyta; Magnoliopsida; Fabales; Fabaceae
Source: the annotation of a GenBank genome assembly
AUGGAAGGUUUAAGUACUUCAACGCAAAAAAGGACUCAAAGUCCAACUGUGGGAUAUUUGCAUGUUGUUCAACAUGCAGAGGUGUUAAAGAAAUCAAAGACAGUUACAGGGGGAGCCAAUAAUGUGAAGAGUCCACAAAAGGGAAAAAGUAGUGCAAACACCAAUUUGAUCACAUCUUCAUCCUUGUUCAUGGUGGUAUUUGUUUCAUUUUAG